RNAcentral lists this ribosomal RNA (459 nucleotides) under uncultured bacterium. RNAcentral's name for it is "partial 16S ribosomal RNA". It matches the Rfam family "Bacterial small subunit ribosomal RNA", at positions 338 to 795 of the family's 1533-position model. The record is from RNAcentral.
CCUACGGGAGGUAGCAGUGAGGAAUAUUGGUCAAUGGCCGCAGGGCUGAACCAGCCAAGUCGCGUGAGGGAUGACGGUCCUAUGGAUUGUAAACCUCUUUUGUCAGGGAGCAAAGGGCGCCACGUGUGGCGUUUUGCGAGUACCUGAAGAAAAAGCAUCGGCUAACUCCGUGCCAGCAGCCGCGGUAAUACGGAGGAUGCGAGCGUUAUCCGGAUUUAUUGGGUUUAAGGGGUGUGCAGGCGGAAUGUGAUGUCAGCGGGAAAAUUUCGGGGCUCAACCGCGUCUUGCCUUUGAAACUGGUGUUCUUGAGUGAGCGAGAGGUAUGCGGAAUUCGUGGUGUAGCGGUGAAAUGCGUAGAUAUUAGGAGGAACACCAGUGGCGAAGGCGGGUUGCUAGACUGUAACUGACACUGAGGCACGAAAGCGUGGGGAGCAAACAGGAUUAGAUACCCCAGUAGUC